RNAcentral lists this ribosomal RNA (449 nucleotides) under uncultured bacterium. RNAcentral describes it as "partial 16S ribosomal RNA". It matches the Rfam family "Bacterial small subunit ribosomal RNA", at positions 29 to 523 of the family's 1533-position model. The record is from RNAcentral.
AACGAACGCUGGCGGCAGGCCUAACACAUGCAAGUCGAACGGGAUCUUCGGAUCUAGUGGCGGACGGGUGAGUAACGCGUGGGAACGUGCCCUUUGGUUCGGAAUAGCCCUGGGAAACUGGGAGUAAUACCGGAUGUGGUCGAGAGACGAAAGAUUUAUCGCCAAAGGAUCGGCCCGCGUUGGAUUAGGUAGUUGGUGGGGUAAUGGCCUACCAAGCCGACGAUCCAUAGCUGGUUUGAGAGGAUGAUCAGCCACACUGGGACUGAGACACGGCCCAGACUCCUACGGGAGGCAGCAGUGGGGAAUCUUAGACAAUGGGGGAAACCCUGAUCUAGCCAUGCCGCGUGAGCGAUGAAGGCCUUAGGGUUGUAAAGCUCUUUCGUGGGGGAAGAUAAUGACUGUACCCCAAGAAGAAGCCCCGGCUAACUCCGUGCCAGCCGCCGCCGUAA